AACGAACGCUGGCGGCGCGCCUAACACAUGCAAGUCGAACGAGAAUCCGGGGCAACCCGGUAGUAAAGUGGCAAACGGGUGAGGAAUACAUGGGUAACCUACCCUUGAGAAGGGAAUAACCCGCCGAAAGGUGAGCUAAUACCCUAUACGCUAUCUUUUUUUCGAAAAGGAUAGGAAAGCCGGGUCGAGGACCUGGUACUCAAGGAGGGGCUCAUGUCCUAUCAGCUUGUUGGUGGGGUAACGGCCUACCAAGGCUACGACGGGUAGCUGGUCUGAGAGGAUGAUCAGCCACACUGGUACUGAGAUACGGGCCAGACUCCUACGGGAGGCAGCAGUGAGGAAUAUUGCGCAAUGGGCGAAAGCCUGACGCAGCGACGCCGCGUGGGGGAUGAAGGUUUUCGGAUUGUAAACCCUUUCAUGAGGAAAGAUAAAGUGGGUAACCACUUAGACGGUACCUCAAGAAGAAGCCACGGCUAACUUCGUG
This 484-nucleotide ribosomal RNA is filed under the name uncultured bacterium. RNAcentral's name for it is "bacterial SSU rRNA". It matches the Rfam family "Bacterial small subunit ribosomal RNA", at positions 29 to 507 of the family's 1533-position model. The record is from RNAcentral.